This is a non-coding RNA of Acanthosepion pharaonis, 112 nucleotides long. Lineage: Eukaryota; Metazoa; Mollusca; Cephalopoda; Sepiida; Sepiidae. The record is from the annotation of a GenBank genome assembly.
AUGGCCAAAUCAUGUUGAAACACCAGUUCCUGUACAAUCACCAAAGUUAAGCAACAUCAAACUUGGUCAGUACCUAGAUGGGUGAUCACUUGGGAAUACUAUGUGCUGUAAG